Leguminivora glycinivorella is the source of this 2081-nucleotide long non-coding RNA. RefSeq lists it as uncharacterized. The transcript is spliced from 5 exons. Lineage: Eukaryota; Metazoa; Arthropoda; Insecta; Lepidoptera; Tortricidae. The record is from RefSeq and is a predicted model, not a curated record.
AAUCUACAGAUCCAACUGAAAUCUUACUUUGUUUUGUAAACGAUUGAACAAGAAUUACGUUUCGAACAGUAUGCGAGCGAAACCGCGGGCAAAAGCUAGUAAAUCCUGUACUACUACGCAUUACCUAUUUAUCUCAUUUUAUAACUAAUAUGGUUCUACGAUCCGUUAUUUAGCAAAACAUAGAAAGUUUGAAAUUUGGUGUUCUUCAACUGACCUUUUAAUUUGUCAUAGUAUACUAGCAGUCUAAACAAAGUUUUACUAUAAUAAUAUUUUUCUCCUCAAUGAAACUCCACAGAAUAUAUUUAUUAUCAUGGAUGUUUCCCUUGUAUACAAGCAUGUUUUUAUCCAUUCAAAUAGGCAUAUCGUCGCUUAGCACCCAUAGCACAAAAUUUGAUAGGUUUGGGGCUAAGUUGAACUGUGUAAGAUGUCCCCAAUAUUUAUUUAUUUAUUUCAUAUUUAUAUAAAAAAAAGCAUUAAGAUUGAAUGUAAACGUCAAAUCACUGUCUCUAUUUUAUUAUUCUACAAUUCGUUCCACAUAGUCUGCAGAGCCCCAUUCAUACUGGAUAAAUUUUAGUCGCAUCCGGUCCGUCAAAUGUCUUAUGAUCUAUAGAGCCCUUUUGAUUUUUCUAUGGCAACAUUUGCUAUGCUGACGUCAUUGCCACGUCAUUACUGUCAGUCAGACAGAAAUAAAAGAAAAAUGGAUGCCGUUCAGACGUACACGCAUUAUUUGGAACUGAAAAUUACGUAAUUUAUCGACCUGCUGGCUUGUAUUUGUUAUAAAUCAUAAAAAAAUUAUGGAAAACAUCAUGAACAAUAAUGAAACAAACCGAACCUUUAGCUACAAUAAUAAAAUGACCCCAUGACGCCAGUGGAACUACGUGGUUUUCUUUCAUGAUGAUUUGAUGAUACCAUAAUGGAAUUAGCCAAGUUUUCGCCGUAUUGGGUGCUAGAUGCCCCUUGGAGUUAAGCCCCAGUGCCACUAUACUACCUUACCAGUUAUGUGUGGGUGUUGUAGUCCUAAGACACCCCGGAGGUACAAAGGGCCUUCACAAACUCACGCCACGCCUUCCUAUCUUCAGCAACCCUCGUGACCUCGCUCCACCAGCUCAAACCUGCCAGUCGCAGCUCAUUUUUCGACGGACCGCUUCCAUGAGUAGACAAGGCACCGACGAUCACGGCUUGCAUCACCUGUACUGCUUCGUAAUAUAGCAUGCUGAACAAUACUGCCAUUAUACUAGGAUCAACGUCCUGCCCCUUCCCCGGCUGUGUACAAAUUGGAACUCCAUUUGCAUGCCCCUUUGACUGAGCAACGUGUGUGUGUGUGCUCGAAACACAUUCACUUGCAACAGAAUGACUCCCAGGCUGACCUGGCUCAGCUCCUGUAUGUCUGUUCUACAUAGACAAUGGUUUCAAUGAAAGAGUGAAAAUUCUUCUCCAUGUACAAUCACUUCUAACGCCUACACUGACUACACCAAAUAUGAUCAUCACUCAACGUGUCUCACAUCAAGAUACUUUUCAAAAGUCAUCGAGAAGAGGAACAUAAUAUCUUUUCCCAUGGUUUCCUGAAUAAUCCUAACUAAAAGUUACUUCUCUAUUCUAUUUUUCCUGCAUGGAGUGGCGCUUUUCCGUCUAAUGGAAACGAAAUGAACAUAUAUGCUCUGGGUUUUUUUUUUUUUUGUGCACCUUUUCAAUAUUACUAAUAAAGCAUUUUGUGGGUGUUUCAUUUACCACCUUCCUUCAUAAUUUUGCUAGUGUGUGAUUCACCAUAUCCCUAAUUAUUAAAUGCAAUAGCUACUGCAAUCUGUUCACUGAUGGGAAUCAUUUCAUGUUAACACAGCUUUGAAUACUAUCUUAAAUAAUGACUCAGACUGACUGUCAAUAAAAAUAUUCCUAGCUAUAAGCUUGCCUGAGGUUAAUGAAUGGUGUGCCUAACUCCUUACUUGAGUACACUUAAGUACUAUGCUUAAAUUCUAGAUUGUAUGUUCUUGACAUUCUUGUCAAUAAGCUACUUGAAUGUUUGUCUCUUUCAAGUAAUUAUAAUUUGUUCACACUUCAGUGGAAGACAACUAAUCCUUAGUUGU